Cyprinus carpio carpio is the source of this 660-nucleotide long non-coding RNA. The record is from Ensembl. NCBI's taxonomy places the organism in Eukaryota, Metazoa, Chordata, Actinopteri, Cypriniformes, Cyprinidae.
CUACAAGUUUAUGGCCUAGUACUUGUUAUUCAUUAAGUUGAAGGGACAGAGUUAUUUCUGAUUGCAGCUGGCAAGCAUUGCCGGGCUGUGACAAGCACUGAGAUAUUAAGUCUGAAGUAUAAUUGCAUUCCUUGAUAAAAACAACAUGUCACAUGCACAACUCUUUUAAAGAGGAAAAUAAUUUAGAGCUAUGUCUAUUAGCAUUCCGUGUCGGUUGAAGGCCCUCUCGCUGAUAUCUGAUUAAAUGCUCCAGAAUCGCUCAAGUGAGAGAAGCCCCUUUCUCUCCCCCCGACCCACUGACCACACUCUCAAACCUGCGAUCGGUUGCUCAGGUAAUGACACACAUGCAGUUUCGGGAUUAAACGUUAUUAAAUUCAGUCAUGUAUGCCAGAUAGCAACAUAGUGUUGGCCCAGAUCUGGCCCAUAUCUGGCCCGCGUGAAAUCCAUGCGGGAUGACACUUGUUGCUGUCUGGGUUACGCUCCUCUGUGUUUUCUCUAUUGGUCAUACAGUAUAACACGUGUUCUUAGCAGAAGAAAGUGCUCCGAUCUCAUGGACUAAUGUAGUAGACUGGCAUUUUUCAUUAAUUCAUGUAUACAGAAGAAAAGUUCAAGACUCAAUUGCCCUGUGUGGUUUUGAAUACUUUGGCACUUUGGGUGUAG